Molecule: ribosomal RNA, 207 nt
Filed under: uncultured bacterium
Lineage: Bacteria
Description: partial 16S ribosomal RNA
Rfam family: Bacterial small subunit ribosomal RNA
Source: RNAcentral
CACGUAGGCGGCUUUGCAAGUUAGAGGUGAAAGCCCGGGGCUCAACCCCGGAAUUGCCUUUAAAACUGCAUCGCUUGAGUUGUGGAGAGGUAAGUGGAAUUCCGAGUGUAGAGGUGAAAUUCGUAGAUAUUCGGAAGAACACCAGUGGCGAAGGCGACUUACUGGACACAUACUGACGCUGAGGUGCGAAAGCGUGGGGAGCAAACA